Molecule: long non-coding RNA, 152 nt
Organism: Cervus elaphus (red deer)
Lineage: Eukaryota; Metazoa; Chordata; Mammalia; Artiodactyla; Cervidae
Exons: 3
Source: RefSeq, a predicted model, not a curated record
UAAAAUGAAAUAUUACUUAGUCAUAAAAAAGAAUGAAAUAAUGCCAUUUGCAACAACUUAGAUGCAAAUAGAGAUUAUCAUUUUAAGUGAAGUAAAUCAGAAAGGAAGAUAAAUACCAUAUAAUGUCACUUAUAUGCAGAAUCUAAAAAAAG